RNAcentral lists this ribosomal RNA (772 nucleotides) under uncultured bacterium. Its description in RNAcentral is "bacterial SSU rRNA". It matches the Rfam family "Bacterial small subunit ribosomal RNA", at positions 8 to 798 of the family's 1533-position model. The record is from RNAcentral.
AGAGUUUGAUCAUGGCUCAGGACGAACGCUGGCGGCGUGCUUAACACAUGCAAGUCGAACGGAAAGGCCCUUCGGGGUACUCGAGUGGCGAACGGGUGAGUAACACGUGGGUGAUCUGCCCUGCACUCUGGGAUAAGCCUGGGAAACUGGGUCUAAUACCGGAUAGGACCGCAUGCUUCAUGGUGUGUGGUGCAAAGCUUUUGCGGUGUGGGAUGAGCCCGCGGCCUAUCAGCUUGUUGGUGGGGUAUGGCCUACCAAGGCGACGACGGGUAGCCGGCCUGAGAGGGUGACCGGCCACACUGGGACUGAGAUACGGCCCAGACUCCUACGGGAGGCAGCAGUGGGGAAUAUUGCACAAUGGGCGCAAGCCUGAUGCAGCGACGCCGCGUGAGGGAUGACGGCCUUCGGGUUGUAAACCUCUUUCAGUAGGGACGAAGCGAAAGUGACGGUACCUACAGAAGAAGGACCGGCCAACUACGUGCCAGCAGCCGCGGUAAUACGUAGGGUCCGAGCGUUGUCCGGAAUUACUGGGCGUAAAGAGCUCGUAGGUGGUUUGUCGCGUUGUUCGUGAAAACUCACAGCUUAACUGUGGGCGUGCGGGCGAUACGGGCAGACUAGAGUACUGCAGGGGAGACUGGAAUUCCUGGUGUAGCGGUGGAAUGCGUAGAUAUCAGGAGGAACACCGGUGGCGAAGGCGGGUCUCUGGGCAGUAACUGACGCUGAGGAGCGAAAGCGUGGGUAGCGAACAGGAUUAGAUACCCCGGUAGUCCAA